This 269-nucleotide ribosomal RNA is filed under the name uncultured bacterium. RNAcentral's name for it is "partial 16S ribosomal RNA". It matches the Rfam family "Bacterial small subunit ribosomal RNA", at positions 85 to 354 of the family's 1533-position model. The record is from RNAcentral.
CCGAUGGCGACCGGCGCACGGGUGAGUAACACGUAUCCAACCUGCCGAUAACUCGGGGAUAGCCUUUCGAAAGAAAGAUUAAUAUCCGAUAGGAUAUCAAGGUCGCAUGAUCUUGAUAUUAAAGAAUUUCGGUUAUCGAUGGGGAUGCGUUCCAUUAGUUAGUUGGCGGGGUAACGGCCCACCAAGACGACGAUGGAUAGGGGGUUCUGAGAGGAAGGUCCCCCACAUUGGAACUGAGACACGGUCCAAACUCCUACGGGAGGCAGCAG